AAUGAAAGGGAGGGAAGAGGAAGUGGGGAGGGCAGAGAAGGAAGCUGAAAGGAGGGGGAAUGAAAAAGACACUGAAGAUCUGCUUACAAAAUCAUCUAUCUAAAUGUGCCUCAUUAACCUGUAUUUAACUGUGCUGAGUACCUGGGGAUCCCUGAUGUUUCUGGAAUUGAUUAUCUCCCUCCAGACAAGGACAGUACCCUCAGAGAGGGGAAGUGACUGACCCAAGAUCACACAGCAAGUCUCUGACCCAAGUUUCCUGGAUUUUCCUCUCUGCUCUUCCACUGCCUCCAGACUCCAGACCAGCAGGACCCUUGAGAGUAAAGCAACUUAAUCCUUUCCCUCUAUAAAUAUCCCUUGUUGGUGUUAGACCAGCUCAUUUAGGUUUCUCCGUGAUUAGGAGUCCUAAUGCUAUUUGCCUGCCUGCAAUGUCCACUCAUAGUUAGUUAUUAUUUCAGUGUAUUAUACCAAAUAACCUCCUGAGAUGCACAAAGACAAGGUAAUACCUCACAUUUGGCAUUGAGGACACAUCCAGUUUCAGUGUGGUCACCUGCCCUUUUCUGGACUUUGUAGUUUUGAAAAUAAGUCAGAAAUGUAAGAAAUCUUUAGGAAACCUCGCAGUAAUGGUGACUUACAGAAUGCUUUCCUCUAAGAUCACAAAUAAAAUAAGGAUGCCUGAUAUCACUACUUCUACUCAAAAUUGUAAUGAAGUGCCUGGGUACUGUA
Long non-coding RNA from Balaenoptera ricei (Rice's whale), 723 nucleotides. RefSeq lists it as uncharacterized. The record is from RefSeq and is a predicted model, not a curated record. Lineage: Eukaryota; Metazoa; Chordata; Mammalia; Artiodactyla; Balaenopteridae. The transcript is spliced from 3 exons.